UUGAAAGAACCCAACGCAGUCAGGCAAUUUCUUCAAACUACCCAGAAUGCAACGCUCCAGCUUUUCAAAUUGCAGGAAGGCGCGAGGAGUAAACAGACUAGUUCGCCUGCAAGAAAUGUACCACGUGAUGCAGUAGCCUGUUGAUGCUGGCAAAAGAUGCAAUCUGGAGGAUUUCAGGAGAUGGCUCUUGCUCACUGGCAGUGACUUGGGUCAUGUGAGACAGCAUCAGAGCUCGGGUGACAUCUCUCGCUCGGGUGAAAUCUCUCCUGGAAGAUUUCAAGGUGUGUGCAGAGUUCUGAAGAAUAAAAGUCAACAGUCAAGUUCUUCUCCAUAUUCUCCAAAUCUGAUGGAGGCGUUCCAUCAGGAAAGGGGGAAUGGUUGGUCGAUGCCUCCAGAAUAAUGAUACCCAUGACCCAGGCACAACAUGCUGACAGGGAAUCGGCUAUGGCAGAAAGCAUCCAUGCCAUCUACGUGAUCCGCCAUGAAGGUUCAGAAGCUACUGACAGUCCUGAGGACAUCGGAAUCAUUUUCAAAGGGGUGACUGCAUUUGGCUGCUUGCCAAACAUCCUACCCAGGCUCCGCCCUCGCAGUGACGCAACACCUUCGGCUCUGCUACACACACUCAGGAAAACUUUGUUCAGGUACUUUCGGGUUCCCUCCACAGCAGGAAACUCCACCCACUUUGUCGGGAAGCAAUCGACUUUCAGCAUCACCAACCGUCCUGGCUAGAGGCGUGUUCAAGGAAGUGACAAGGUUUGAGCAGAGACGCUCUAUUGGGACUAAGAAAAUGUUUGGUUUAAACUUUGGCUCAGCCUGUUCGGCCCUCGACCAGUAGCAAAUCACGAGAGUUGGGUCAACCAUGCCGUUUGAGAAUGUUGUUAUGCUCUUGGUCAGACCAAGUCUCGAAGAGAUUUGUAAGUCAUGAUAAUCAGGUUACAAAUAUUCACUUACAGUGGCCAUAUUUCUUGCACUAAACUUGUUAUCCUCCUUGAAAGUUGUGUGUGUGUGUGUGAGUAAUAAUGCAGACAUGAUAAUAACAAUUGACUAGAAGUACAAAUACACAUUUCUACAUUAUUGCUCACACACAGCUUUUGGUAAAACAUUGCUGAAAUGGCCAAACAACUUUAUGCAUUUUCUAAUAAAGAGUCAUUGCAUUGAGCAGAUCAUUGAGAGGCCCUGAAGUCCACUACACUAUUCUUAACUUGUG
Engraulis encrasicolus (European anchovy) is the source of this 1207-nucleotide long non-coding RNA. RefSeq lists it as uncharacterized. NCBI's taxonomy places the organism in Eukaryota, Metazoa, Chordata, Actinopteri, Clupeiformes, Engraulidae. The record is from RefSeq and is a predicted model, not a curated record. The transcript is spliced from 5 exons.